RNAcentral lists this transfer RNA (76 nucleotides) under Caulobacter phage CcrBL9. Its description in RNAcentral is "tRNA-Met". It matches the Rfam family "tRNA". From Rfam's summary of the family: Transfer RNA (tRNA) molecules are approximately 80 nucleotides in length. Their secondary structure includes four short double-helical elements and three loops (D, anti-codon, and T loops). The record is from RNAcentral. Lineage: Duplodnaviria; Heunggongvirae; Uroviricota; Caudoviricetes; Jeanschmidtviridae.
GCGGGGUGGAGCAGUCCGGUAGCUCGUCUGGCUCAUAACCAGAAGGUCAAGGGUUCAAAUCCCUUCCCCGCUUCCA